AAAUGUAAUAUGUCGCAUCUUAUUCCUUCCUUGCCUUCCAUUCCACCCCAAAGUUUCAUGGCGUCUUCUCCCCUUUAGAUCUCAACCCGUAUUGAUGAUUCCCAAACACAGCGAAUUCUCCUCCCUCUCCAUCUUCUUCAACCUCCAUCAAAUCCCACUACUCCCUUCUCGUGCUAGGGUAAGUGACGGCGAGAGGCGUUCUGAGCGACGAGAUCCCCAGACGGCUGUCCCUGUCCUACCUCAGGCUUCCUCGAUGUAAGCGCCCCACCCUGGAAGCAGAGCGCCUUGCGGAGGAUGUCGCCGCGCCGACAUCGGCCUCGGCCACUCUCGGCGAUUGCAUUGCGGUCGUGCGUCGGCUGCCUCCGCAGAAGGUCGGGAAGGCUUCUUGCAGCAGCGGCGAAUCUUGCUUGGUGCCGCGCGUCUCACACAUCCGCCGCUCAUCUUCCCCACCCUGCAGCGGGCGGCGGUGGGUCGGCUGAGUGACGCCCGUGGUGGCGCUCCCUGCCCCGUCUGCAUCAAUCCCGUUGAUGGCCCAUUUAUUCAGGUAGACGCCUUCACAACGAUGGCGAUAAUGUGAAGAUGCCAAGGAGAGCAUUAAUCUUAGCCCAAAUUGCUACUAGGUGAGUUUCCUCUGGACAUGAUGGAAUCAUCGGUCGCUAGCUUUUCGGCACGACUGCGGCAAGAUCAAUAGCCGUGAUGCAUCCGUGAGUUCAUUCUAUCUUCAACUCAAUCAGAAUACAGAAAAAUAUUGUCUAUAUUUCCUAAUGAAUUUCUUAUUUUAUUUUA
Long non-coding RNA from Aegilops tauschii subsp. strangulata, 786 nucleotides. RefSeq lists it as uncharacterized. NCBI's taxonomy places the organism in Eukaryota, Viridiplantae, Streptophyta, Magnoliopsida, Poales, Poaceae. The record is from RefSeq and is a predicted model, not a curated record.